RNAcentral lists this small nucleolar RNA (75 nucleotides) under Buceros rhinoceros silvestris. RNAcentral's name for it is "Small nucleolar RNA R38". It matches the Rfam family "Small nucleolar RNA R38". Rfam says of the family: snoR38 is a C/D box small nucleolar RNA conserved across yeast, human, Arabidopsis and rice. It is encoded in the intron of elongation factor-1 gamma in both pombe and cerevisiae. snoR38 guides the methylation of 2'-O-ribose sites in 28S rRNA. The record is from Rfam by way of RNAcentral. Lineage: Eukaryota; Metazoa; Chordata; Aves; Bucerotiformes; Bucerotidae.
CCGAGCUGGUGAUGAUAAAAGUUAUCCCUGUCUGAAAUCGAUCUUUCCUUGUGGAAGCAGAACUCUGAGGCUCGG